Molecule: ribosomal RNA, 450 nt
Filed under: uncultured bacterium
Lineage: Bacteria
Description: bacterial SSU rRNA
Rfam family: Bacterial small subunit ribosomal RNA
Source: RNAcentral
GUAGGGAAUCUUCCACAAUGGACGAAAGUCUGAUGGAGCAAUGCCGCGUGAGUGAAGAAGGGUUUCGGCUCGUAAAACUCUGUUGUUAAAGAAGAACACUCUUGAGAGUAACUGUUCAGGAGUUGACGGUAUUUAACCAGAAAGCCACGGCUAACUACGUGCCAGCAGCCGCGGUAAUACGUAGGUGGCAAGCGUUGUCCGGAUUUAUUGGGCGUAAAGCGAGCGCAGGCGGUCUUUUAAGUCUGAUGUGAAAGCCUUCGGCUUAACCGGAGAAGUGCAUCGGAAACUGGGAGACUUGAGUGCAGAAGAGGACAGUGGAACUCCAUGUGUAGCGGUGGAAUGCGUAGAUAUAUGGAAGAACACCAGUGGCGAAGGCGGCUGUCUAGUCUGUAACUGACGCUGAGGCUCGAAAGCAUGGGUAGCAAACAGGAUUAGAAACCCUAGUAGUCC